ACCUUCUCCCAGAAUCACUGUUUUCUCUAAUAAUCUUUCAUUGCAUACCCCCGACAUCCGCACUCAGAUUGCUGAGUAUCGUAGAGAGAUCGCAGAGCUUAGAUAGGAGGUGGCUGACCUCACUUUACAGAUAGGAGUGUCUGAUCUCACCCAUGCUACAGAAGCCGACUGUCUAUAUCAGGAGAUCGCAGAGCUCAGGCAGGAAGUAGCCACGCUCCGUGGAUCCACUCAGGAAGAUGACAUCCCCACUAUAUGAUCUCACCAUUCCAUCUUAUUUUAUCUUUU
This 285-nucleotide long non-coding RNA is filed under the name Lathyrus oleraceus (garden pea). Its description in RNAcentral is "Pisum sativum (pea) long non-coding RNA (PSAT_LNC006301)". The record is from RNAcentral. Lineage: Eukaryota; Viridiplantae; Streptophyta; Magnoliopsida; Fabales; Fabaceae.